RNAcentral lists this ribosomal RNA (288 nucleotides) under uncultured bacterium. RNAcentral describes it as "partial 16S ribosomal RNA". It matches the Rfam family "Bacterial small subunit ribosomal RNA", at positions 335 to 603 of the family's 1533-position model. The record is from RNAcentral.
ACUCCUACGGGAGGCAGCAGUGGGGAAUAUUGCACAAUGGGGAAAGCCCAUCGAUGCAGCCAUGCCGCGCUGUGUGAAGAAGGCCAAUUCGGGGCUUUGGUUAAAGACACUUUUCAGUAGGGAGGAAGGUAGUGUAGUUAACACCUGCAUUAUUUGACGUUACCUACAGAAGAAGCACCGGCUAACUCCGUGCCAGCAGCCGCGGUAAUACGGAGGGUGCGAGCGUUAAUCGGAAUUACUGGGCGUAAAGCGCAUGCAGGCGGCCUGUUAAGUCAGAUGUGAAAGCCC